This 613-nucleotide long non-coding RNA is filed under the name Nicotiana benthamiana. RNAcentral describes it as "long non-coding RNA (NBEN_LNC018199)". The record is from RNAcentral. Lineage: Eukaryota; Viridiplantae; Streptophyta; Magnoliopsida; Solanales; Solanaceae.
CUCAUUCUCAUUUUUGCUGAAGCUUUGGCUCUUUAUGGGCUUAUUGUUGGAAUUAUAUUGUCUUCACGAGCUGGGCAGUCCAGAGCAGAGUGAAGUUGGCUUAUUAAUACUAUUCUUACUAUGAUGUAUGUGAGACUCAGUAAACCCUGGCAAAACUUGAUCCUUGCUAAAGUCAAAAAGUUAUCUAUGUCUAUGUGUUAAUGCUAUUCUUGCUAUGAUGUAUGUGAGACUCAUUAACGCUGGCAGACCUUGAUCCUUGCUAAAGUCGAAAAGCUAUCUAUGUCUAUGUUUGUUAUUCAUGAUGGCACGGUUGCUACUGGUGCUGCUAUGUACUGUUUGUAGAAGUAGGAGUGAGUAUUUAUUUUAAUAAUAACUUAAGAAGCUGUCGUAUUUGAUCACUAUUUGUGCAUGUAAUGAUUUUUUGCUACAAUUUGUUAUGGCCCCGUGCAACAUGUAUGAUAUUCCGCUUACAUAUUUCUCUGAAUAAAAAACUCUGUUGGGUGAUGCUACUUGAAGAUGCAGACAUGGUUUCACGUAUUAUUUAGUUGGUGGUAGGACUAUCUUGUGCAAAGGUAAUCUUAUGGUCACUAUUUCUUUUAAUUUGUAUCUUGUA